Molecule: long non-coding RNA, 322 nt
Filed under: Salmo salar (Atlantic salmon)
Lineage: Eukaryota; Metazoa; Chordata; Actinopteri; Salmoniformes; Salmonidae
Description: lncRNA (ENSSSAG00000104190.1, ENSSSAG00000117588.1)
Source: RNAcentral
UGUCCUUCACGUUGGGCUCGUGGGAUUCGUUAAAGGAAAAACAGGAUUCUGCCAGUUCGUGAAUCCCGGAGCCAUCACACGAAGCAGGUCAUCACACGAAGCUGUGGUACUGGCGUUCCGGUUGGUGGUGAUGUCGGUUCUGGGUCGCCGCUGAUGGACCCGGGGUUGCCUAGCCAGCUCGUCGGGCUUCCACGCCCUAGCUGGCUCAAGAAGUUUCCUUGCCCCGGUUGGCUCGGAAGGCGCCCAUCCCACGUCGGGCCUCAGCUGGAUCGUCAGGUCCUGUUCGCCCAGCCGGCUUGUCAGACUGUCACGUCUCCGUCGG